This is a small nuclear RNA of Sorex araneus (European shrew), 106 nucleotides long. The record is from RefSeq and is a predicted model, not a curated record. Lineage: Eukaryota; Metazoa; Chordata; Mammalia; Eulipotyphla; Soricidae.
UUAUCUUGCUACCAUAGUACAACUAAAAUUGAAAUGAUACAAAAAAAGAUAAGUAUGGUCUCUGCACAAGGAUGACACACAAAUUUGUGAAGCAUUCAUAUUUUGA